Molecule: long non-coding RNA, 126 nt
Organism: Nematolebias whitei (Rio pearlfish)
Lineage: Eukaryota; Metazoa; Chordata; Actinopteri; Cyprinodontiformes; Rivulidae
Exons: 2
Source: RefSeq, a predicted model, not a curated record
AGCUCCUCUGAACCCCCUCCUGACAGAGUAACGACUUGUUCCAGUCGUUUACCCUGAGACCGACACCAGAGCCAGGUUCACUUUGAGAGGCAAGGCCCCACCAAGAAAAUAAACUUUUUAACCUGA